UCGGGAAUCUUGCACAAUGGGCGAAAGCCUGAUGCAGCGACGCCGCGUGGGGGAUGAAGGCCUUAGGGUCGUAAACCCCUUUUCAGCAGGGACGAAAAUUGACGGUACCUGCAGAAGAAGCCCCGGCCAACUACGUGCCAGCAGCCGCGGUAAGACGUAGGGGGCGAGCGUUGUCCGGAUUUAUUGGGCGUAAAGAGCUCGUAGGCGGUUGCGUAAGUCGGAUGUGAAAACUCAGGGCUCAACCCUGAGACGCCAUCCGAUACUGCGCUGACUUGAAUCCAGUAGGGGAGUGUGGAAUUCCUGGUGUAGCGGUGAAAGUGCGCAGAUAUCAGGAGGAACACCCAUGGCGAAGGCAGCACUCUAGGGCUGGUAUUGACGCUGAGGAGCGAAAGCAUGGGUAGCGAACCGGAUU
RNAcentral lists this ribosomal RNA (412 nucleotides) under uncultured bacterium. RNAcentral's name for it is "bacterial SSU rRNA". It matches the Rfam family "Bacterial small subunit ribosomal RNA", at positions 355 to 779 of the family's 1533-position model. The record is from RNAcentral.